RNAcentral lists this ribosomal RNA (237 nucleotides) under uncultured bacterium. RNAcentral describes it as "partial 16S ribosomal RNA". It matches the Rfam family "Bacterial small subunit ribosomal RNA", at positions 532 to 769 of the family's 1533-position model. The record is from RNAcentral.
GUCCGGGCGUUAUCCGGAUUUAUUGGGUUUAAAGGGAGCGUAGGCGGGCUGUCAAGUCAGCGGUAAAAGCCCGGGGCUCAACCCCGGCCCGCCGUUGAAACUGGCUUGCUUGAGUUGGAGAGAAGUAGGCGGAAUGCGCGGUGUAGCGGUGAAAUGCUUAGAUAUCGCGCAGAACUCCGAUUGCGAAGGCAGCCUACCGGCUCCAGACUGACGCUGAGGCACGAAAGCGUGGGUAUC